Molecule: ribosomal RNA, 332 nt
Filed under: uncultured bacterium
Lineage: Bacteria
Description: bacterial SSU rRNA
Rfam family: Bacterial small subunit ribosomal RNA
Source: RNAcentral
CGUGCAGGCGGCCUGGUAAGUCGGGCGUGAAAUCUCUCGGCUCAACCGGGAGGGGUCGUCCGAAACUACUAGGCUUGAGGGCAGUAGAGGGAGGUGGAAUUCCCGGUGUAGUGGUGAAAUGCGUAGAGAUCGGGAGGAACACCAGUGGCGAAGGCGGCCUCCUAGGCUGUCCCUGACGCUCAGACGCGAAAGCUAGGGGAGCGAACGGGAUUAGAAACCCCGGUAGUCCUAGCUGUAAACGAUGCAGACUAGGUGUUGGCAGCUUAAACCCUGCCAGUGCCGUAGCCAACGCGUGAAGUCUGCCGCCUGGGGACUACGGCCGCAAGGCUAAA